RNAcentral lists this ribosomal RNA (1520 nucleotides) under Corynebacterium sp. HMSC05D08. Its description in RNAcentral is "bacterial LSU rRNA". It matches the Rfam family "Bacterial large subunit ribosomal RNA", at positions 1419 to 2925 of the family's 2925-position model. The record is from RNAcentral. Lineage: Bacteria; Bacillati; Actinomycetota; Actinomycetes; Mycobacteriales; Corynebacteriaceae.
GGGUUAACAUGGUGGCAAGCCGUGGGGCCUGAUGUGUGGUUCAAGCGAUGGGGUGACACAGUGGGGUAGCCAUGCCGCUUAGUGGAUUGUUGGUGUAAGCGUGUAGGUGAUGGUGUAGGUAAAUCCGCACUUGUUAUGCUGAGACGUGAUGCGUAGCCUUAAUUGGUGAAGUUGGUGAUCCCGUGCUGUCGAGAAAAGCCUCUAGCGAUGUAUAUACUCGGCCCGUACCCCAAACCGACACAGGUAGUCAGGUUGAAAAUACUAAGGCGUUCGGGUGAACUGUGGUUAAGGAACUCGGCAAAAUGCCCCCGUAACUUCGGGAGAAGGGGGACCCUAUGGCGUGAACACCCAUUUGCGGUGGGAAGCGUUGUGGGGUCGCAGAGAAUAGAGGGAAGCGACUGUUUAUCAAAAACACAGGUCCAUGCGAAGACGUUAAGUUGAUGUAUAUGGACUGACGCCUGCCCGGUGCUGGAAGGUUAAGAGGACCGGUUAAUCAAGCUUUGCUUGGUGAAGCUGAGAAUUUAAGCCCCAGUAAACGGCGGUGGUAACUAUAACCAUCCUAAGGUAGCGAAAUUCCUUGUCGGGUAAGUUCCGACCUGCACGAAUGGCGUAACGACUUCCCUGCUGUCUCAACCACAGGCCCGGUGAAAUUGCACUACGAGUAAAGAUGCUCGUUACGCGCGGCAGGACGAAAAGACCCCGGGACCUUCACUAUAGCUUGGUAUUGGUGUUCGGUUCGGUUUGUGUAGGAUAGGUGGGAGACUAUGAGGCGUGUGCGCCAGCACGCGUGGAGUCGUUGUUGAAAUACCACUCUGAUCGGAUUGGAUACCUUAACCUUGGCCCAUGAUCUGGGUUGGGGACAGUGCCUGGUGGGUAGUUUAACUGGGGCGGUUGCCUCCCAAAAUGUAACGGAGGCGCCCAAAGGUUCCCUCAGCCUGGUUGGCAAUCAGGUGGUGAGUGUAAGUGCACAAGGGAGCUUGACUGUGAGAGUGACAGCUCGAACAGGGACGAAAGUCGGGACUAGUGAUCCGGCACCUACUUGUGGAUGUGGUGUCGCUCAACGGAUAAAAGGUACCCCGGGGAUAACAGGCUGAUCUUCCCCAAGAGUCCAUAUCGACGGGAUGGUUUGGCACCUCGAUGUCGGCUCGUCGCAUCCUGGGGCUGGAGUAGGUCCCAAGGGUUGGGCUGUUCGCCCAUUAAAGCGGCACGCGAGCUGGGUUCAGAACGUCGUGAGACAGUUCGGUCUCUAUCCGCCGCGCGCGUUGAAACUUGAAGAAGGCUGUCCCUAGUACGAGAGGACCGGGACGGACGUACCUCUAGUGUGCCAGUUGUUCCGCCAGGGGCAUCGCUGGUUGGCUACGUACGGAAGGGAUAACCGCUGAAAGCAUCUAAGCGGGAAGCCUGUUUUAAGAUGAGGUUUCAUUUGAGGUCCCCUAAAGACUAUGGGGUUGAUAGGCCAGACAUGGAAGCACCGCAAGGUGUGGAGUCUACUGGUACUAAUAGACCAAAACAAACACACA